GACAGAGGGUGGAAGCGUUGUUCGGAAUCAUUGGGCGUAAAGGGCGCGUAGGCGGCGCUAGAGGUUACUUGUGAAAGCCCAGGGCUUAACCUUGGAAGAGCAGGUAAAACGUUAGUGCUAGAGUAUCGAAGAGGGUGGUGGAAUUCCCAGUGUAGAGGUGAAAUUCGUAGAUAUUGGGAGGAACACCGGAGGCGAAGGCGGCCACCUGGUCGAAUACUGACGCUGAGGCGCGAAAGCGUGGGGAGCAAACAGG
This 253-nucleotide ribosomal RNA is filed under the name uncultured bacterium. RNAcentral describes it as "partial 16S ribosomal RNA". It matches the Rfam family "Bacterial small subunit ribosomal RNA", at positions 524 to 776 of the family's 1533-position model. The record is from RNAcentral.